UCAUAUUGGUAAUUGAAUUGCUUGGAGAGCACUGUCAUCCAUGAAGGAUAGUCAUUCUGCUCACGAUAAUGGCUGCAUGCAUCUUGAGCUCCAAGGAUAAAACAUAUGUUUUUCCAGGCUGCAAACUUAUGCGUCCUUUUCCGUAUGGUAGUAAUAUUCACCAAUCACCAUACUGAAGAAAUCCUUGUUGAAGAAAACCAGCUGCUUCCUUUCUAAUAAACUUGAUAGAGAUUGUAUUCUGUUUUUAAGGACAAAAUGGCUUGGCAAAAUAUUGAUGCCGGAAAAAAAAGAUGAUGCCUUUUAUUGGUAUAAGAUGCCUAAACUGAUAACAAAAAUUGAGGGUCAUGGAAAUGGCAUCAAGACCUGUUGAAGUAC
Molecule: long non-coding RNA, 375 nt
Filed under: Olea europaea subsp. europaea
Lineage: Eukaryota; Viridiplantae; Streptophyta; Magnoliopsida; Lamiales; Oleaceae
Source: RNAcentral